GGAAUCUUGCGCAAUGGGCGAAAGCUUGACGCAGCAACGCCGCGUGGGUGAUGAAGGCCUUCGGGUCGUAAAGCCCUGUCGGAGGGAACGAAUUCUUCCUGGGUUAACAAUCCAGGGAAGUGACGGUACCCUCCACGGAAGCACCGGCUAACUCCGUGCCAGCAGCCGCGGUAAUACGGAGGGUGCAAGCGUUGUUCGGAAUCAUUGGGCGUAAAGGGCGUGUAGGCGGUCUGCUAAGUCAUGUGUGAAAGCCCUCGGCUCAACCGAGGAAUGGCGCAUGAAACUGGCAAGCUAGAGUACCAAAGAGGGGGGUGGAAUUCCAGGUGUAGCGGUGAAAUGCGUAGAUAUCUGGAGGAACACCGGUGGCGAAGGCGGCCUCCUGGUUGGAUACUGACGCUGAGACGCGAAAGCGUGGGGAGCAAA
RNAcentral lists this ribosomal RNA (423 nucleotides) under uncultured bacterium. RNAcentral describes it as "bacterial SSU rRNA". It matches the Rfam family "Bacterial small subunit ribosomal RNA", at positions 358 to 772 of the family's 1533-position model. The record is from RNAcentral.